CACGUAGGCUGUAGUGUAAGUCAGGGGUGAAAUCCCACGGCUCAACCGUGGAACUGCCUUUGAUACUGCACAACUUGAAUCCGGGAGAGGGUGGCGGAAUUCCAGGUGUAGGAGUGAAAUUCGUAGAUAUCUGGAGGAACAUCAGUGGCGAAGGCGGCCACCUGGACCGGUAUUGACGCUGAGGUGCGAAAGCGUGGGGAGCAAACA
Molecule: ribosomal RNA, 207 nt
Filed under: uncultured bacterium
Lineage: Bacteria
Description: partial 16S ribosomal RNA
Rfam family: Bacterial small subunit ribosomal RNA
Source: RNAcentral